This 236-nucleotide long non-coding RNA is filed under the name Elaeis guineensis (African oil palm). Its description in RNAcentral is "long non-coding RNA (EGUI_LNC071450)". Lineage: Eukaryota; Viridiplantae; Streptophyta; Magnoliopsida; Arecales; Arecaceae. The record is from RNAcentral.
GCCGCCAGUCCAUAAAAGGAAAGAAAAGAAGGGGAGGCGCUAGCCCCUUCCCCCUUGCAGCCGUCGACUCUCUCUCUUCUCCCUCUCUUUCAGCCUCCCAAGCAUUAGGUCCAGGAUCUAAAAUCUCUUGCAAAGAGGUUGAUACAAGUCUCUCUCAGAUCUGGAGUUGAUCUGAGAUCGUUUGAGGCACGGGAGAGAUCUCCAUCAACAGAUCCACAGGAAAGGCUGCAGCAGGA